AUUGAACGCUGGCGGCAGGCCUAACACAUGCAAGUCGAACGAGUGGCGGACGGGUGUGUAAUGUCUGGGAAACUGCCUGAUGGAGGGGGAUCACUACGGGAAACUGUAGCUUAUACCGCAUACCCUCCUAUGUGCCCAUAUGGGAUUAGCUAGUAGGUGGGGUAAAGGCUUACCUAGGCGACGAUCCCUCGCUGGUCUGAGAGGAUGACCAGCCACACUGGAACUGAGACACGGUCCAGACUCCUACGGGAGGCAGCAGUGGGGAAUAUUGCACAAUGGGCGCAAGCCUGAUGCAGCCAUGCCGCGUGUAUGAAGAAGGCCUUAGGGUUGUAAAGUACUUUCAGCGGGGAGGCGUUACCCGCAGAAGAAGCACCGGCUAACUCCGUGCCAGCAGCCGCGGUAAUUC
RNAcentral lists this ribosomal RNA (406 nucleotides) under uncultured bacterium. RNAcentral describes it as "partial 16S ribosomal RNA". It matches the Rfam family "Bacterial small subunit ribosomal RNA", at positions 30 to 526 of the family's 1533-position model. The record is from RNAcentral.